CAAGACCUGCGCUUUUGGAGCGGCCGAUGCCUGAUUAGCUUGUUGGUAAGGUAAAAGCUUACCAAGGCUUCGAUCAGUAGCUGGUCUGAGAGGACGGCCAGCUACACUGGGACUGAGACACGGCCCAGACUCCUACGGGAGGCAGCAGUGGGGAAUUUUGGACAAUGGGGGCAACCCUGAUCCAGCCAUGCCGCGUGAGUGAAGAAGGCCUUCGGGUUGUAAAGCUCUUUCAGCCGGAACGAAACGGUUACGGUUAAUACCCGUGAUUACUGACGGUACCGGAAGGAGAAGCACCGGCUAACUACGUGCCAGCAGCCGCGGUAAUACGUAGGGUGCGAGCGUUAAUCGGAAUUACUGGGCGUAAAGCGUGCGCAGGUGGUUUUGUAAGUCAGAUGUGAAAGCCCCGGGCUCAACCUGGGAACU
RNAcentral lists this ribosomal RNA (423 nucleotides) under uncultured bacterium. RNAcentral describes it as "bacterial SSU rRNA". It matches the Rfam family "Bacterial small subunit ribosomal RNA", at positions 207 to 622 of the family's 1533-position model. The record is from RNAcentral.